AUACUUACCUGGCAGGGGAGAUUCCAUGAUCAAGAAGGCGGUUCACCCAGGGCAAGGCUCAGCCACUGUGCUGACCCCUACGUAUUCCCCAAACGUGGGAAUCUUGAAUCUUGCAUAAUUUCUGGUAGUGGGGGACUGCGUUUGUGCUCUCCCCUG
This is a small nuclear RNA of 156 nucleotides. Its record names the gene U1. It matches the Rfam family "U1 spliceosomal RNA". From Rfam's summary of the family: U1 is a small nuclear RNA (snRNA) component of the spliceosome (involved in pre-mRNA splicing). Its 5' end forms complementary base pairs with the 5' splice junction, thus defining the 5' donor site of an intron. The record is from Ensembl.